UUCAUGGUCCGGUGAAAGUGUUCGGAUCGCUCCGACGUGGGCGGUUCGCUGCCCGCGACGUAGCGAGAAGUCCACUGAACCUUAUCAUUUAGAGGAAGGAGAAGUCGUAACAAGGUUUCCGUAGGUGAACCUGCGGAAGGAUCAUUG
This 147-nucleotide ribosomal RNA is filed under the name Streptocarpus candidus. RNAcentral describes it as "partial 18S ribosomal RNA". It matches the Rfam family "Eukaryotic small subunit ribosomal RNA", at positions 1690 to 1831 of the family's 1831-position model. The record is from RNAcentral. Lineage: Eukaryota; Viridiplantae; Streptophyta; Magnoliopsida; Lamiales; Gesneriaceae.